This 279-nucleotide ribosomal RNA is filed under the name uncultured bacterium. RNAcentral describes it as "partial 16S ribosomal RNA". It matches the Rfam family "Bacterial small subunit ribosomal RNA", at positions 506 to 784 of the family's 1533-position model. The record is from RNAcentral.
UGCCAGCCGCCGCGGUAAUACGAGGGGUGCAAGCGUUAAUCGGAAUUACUGGGCGUAAAGCGUGCGUAGGCGGUUUGUUAAGCAAGAUGUGAAAGCCCCGGGCUCAACCUGGGAACUGCAUUUUGAACUGGCAGGCUAGAGUACUGUAGAGGGUGGUGGAAUUUCCAGUGUAGCGGUGAAAUGCGUAGAGAUUGGAAGGAACACCGGUGGCGAAGGCGGCCAUCUGGGGCAAGACUGACGCUGAGGUGCGAAAGCGCGGGGAGCAAACAGGAUUAGAUA